ACUCCUACGGGAGGCAGCAGUGGGAAUCUUGCGCAAUGGGCGAAAGCCUGACGCAGCAACGCCGCGUGAGGGAUGAAGGCCUUCGGGUUGUAAACCUCUUUCAGAAGGGAAGAAAUUGACGGUACCUUCAGAAGAAGCCCGCCGCAACUACGUGCCAGCAGCCGCGGUAAUACGUAGGGCGAAGCGUUGUCCGGAAUUAUUGGGCGUAAAGAGCUCGUAGGCGGCUCAGCAAGUCGACUGUGAAAUCCCGAGGCUCAACCUCGGAACUGCAGUCGAUACUGCUGUGGCUUGAGUCUGGUAGAGGAGAAUGGAAUUCCCGGUGUAGCGGUGAAAUGCGCAGAUAUCGGGAGGAACACCAGUAGCGAAGGCGGUUCUCUGGGCCAGUACUGACGCUGAGGAGCGAAAGCGUGGGUAGCAAACAGGAUUAGAUACCCUGGUAGGCUCUGC
RNAcentral lists this ribosomal RNA (447 nucleotides) under uncultured bacterium. RNAcentral describes it as "bacterial SSU rRNA". It matches the Rfam family "Bacterial small subunit ribosomal RNA", at positions 335 to 800 of the family's 1533-position model. The record is from RNAcentral.